UUUUAAUUAACUUGGUAACGCAGCUAACGCGUGAAGUAGACCGCCUGGGGAGUACGGUCGCAAGAUUAAAACUCAAAGGAAUUGACGGGGACCCGCACAAGCGGUGGAUGAUGUGGAUUAAUUCGAUGCAACGCGAAAAACCUUACCUACCCUUGACAUGUACGGAAGUCACGAGAGAUCGAGAUGUGCUCGAAAGAGAACCGUAACACAGGUGCUGCAUGGCUGUCGUCAGCUCGUGUCGUGAGAUGUUGGGUUAAGUCCCGCAACGAGCGCAACCCUUGUCAUUAGUUGCUACAUUUAGUUGAGCACUCUAAUGAGACUGCCGGUGACAAACCGGAGGAAGGUGGGGAUGACGUCAAGUCCUCAUGGCCCUUAUGGGUAGGGCUUCACACGUCAUACAAUGGUACAUACAGAGGGCCGCCAACCCGCGAGGGGGAGCUAAUCCCAGAAAGUGUAUCGUAGUCCGGAUCGCAGUCUGCAACUCGACUGCGUGAAGUUGGAAUCGCUAGUAAUCGCGGAUCAGCAUGUCGCGGUGAAUACGUUCCCGGGUCUUGUACACACCGCCCGUCACACCAUGGGAGCGGGUUUUACCAGAAGUAGGUAGCUUAACCGCAAGGGGGCGCUUACCACGGUAGGAUUCGUGACUGGGGUGAAGUCGUAACAAGGUAGCCGUAUCGGAAGGGUGCC
RNAcentral lists this ribosomal RNA (687 nucleotides) under uncultured bacterium. RNAcentral describes it as "bacterial SSU rRNA". It matches the Rfam family "Bacterial small subunit ribosomal RNA", at positions 829 to 1516 of the family's 1533-position model. The record is from RNAcentral.